RNAcentral lists this small RNA (478 nucleotides) under Pan troglodytes (chimpanzee). RNAcentral's name for it is "processed transcript". Lineage: Eukaryota; Metazoa; Chordata; Mammalia; Primates; Hominidae. The record is from RNAcentral.
GGGUGGAGGGUGGGGUGGGAUGACAGCGGCGACGCAGCCCCGGCUGUUUGUGAAGCGGGGCCCGGGCCUCACCGGGCUGCGGCGUCCGACUCGAGUGAGACUCUCCCCUGCGGCCCCGCCGGAGUUUAAGCAUCAGAAGACUGGGGAGAUUGGAGUGAUAAGACGGACAGUCGUGUGACCUAAUCAUCUGAGCAUCACAGUUGUUUUUCUUAGAAUUGCUUUCUGGUGGAGAUGAAGAAGAGAAUGAUGAGCCACCCAAAGUAGUAGUUACCGAAGUAAAAGAAGAAGAUGCUUUUUACUCCAAAAAGUGUAAACUGUUUUACAAGAAAGACAAUGAGUUUAAAGAGAAAGGCAUAGGUACUCUGCAUUUAAAACCUACAGCAAAUCAGAAGACACAGCUUUUGGUGCGGGCAGACACCAAUUUAGGCAACAUAUUGCUGAACGUUCUGAUUCCACCCAAUAUGCCAUGUACGCGAAC